UAGCUCAACUGGUAGAGCAUGGCGUUAAUGUUGCCAGGGUUAGGGGUUUGAUUCCCACUGAGGCCA
This is a non-coding RNA of Merluccius polli (Benguela hake), 66 nucleotides long. Lineage: Eukaryota; Metazoa; Chordata; Actinopteri; Gadiformes; Merlucciidae. The record is from the annotation of a GenBank genome assembly.